CACUCAUCUGCAAUCACAGAAUGAAGACACAGUGGUUGUAAUACUAUAUGAGCAUGCUGUGCUGUGCCAGAAGUAUGUGGGCAGUAGAAGAGAAAGAAGACUUGAACAUUUUUCAAAUCAUCAUAACAAAAAAAUUGCCAGUCUAAUGAACAGGUAGCUGUCAGCACUACAAAGGAGGGAAGACUCCCGCACUCGCUACCACAUUUCUUCUCCACCUCCUGUGGUGGCCUCAAAUACUAGAACUAGAGGCACAUUCCUUUGGGCUUGAAAGUAUUGGUGAGCCUAAGAGACAGCAGAACAGUGGAAGCCUUCCUGAGUGCAAGGCCUGACACUUGUUGCGGAGCCAUGACUGGGGAUGCAUUUGACCCCACAGCCAUCUGAGAUAAGACACUUCUCAACUACCAUGUCUUCAGAUUCAUCUGCAUUAAACUUGAUAGAGCCCCAUUUCUUUGUGAUGUGGCCAAGCAACUUGAACUUGGCCCUGUGUAGGGACUCAGUCACAUGCUCCUUGUUCUGCACCUUGGUAUGGAUGGACAUGAUGACUUACCAAUGUAAAUUCUGGCCAUGGUACCCUGGGGCUUUCUAGAGAUACCCUGCACACCUGUCUGGAGCCUACAAUGGGAACAGUGCAAGGUCAAAGGUCAGAGGCAUAAACAUACAUUGGAAACGGCUGUCUCCUAUGUUCUUUAGAGCAACCCAUACAAGAAACAAGCUGUGUAUACAACAAAGGAGGCUGUUGUUUGCAGCCAUUACACCGAGCCCCUGUGAGGAAAGGAGUACAGCUGGCUUAAUUGACUGCAGAUGAAUAAUUUUAAAAGUCUGCUGAGUUCCAGAAUUCGGGGUGACAGUGGUAAUCAGAGUGACAGAACUCUAGAGAAAGGCAGUGUUCAUAGAAAAGAGUCAGAGGUUGCUGGUGGGGUCAGCUCCCACCAGCUGGAGGUUCUUUCUUGAUUCAGAACUCACAGAAUUUUAUGUGGUGUUUUAAUAAGAAAGAUGUUUCCAUCCUUGAACCAUCCCUUCUCUAGCUUGGAGGUCCUUCCUGUGCUAUAAAGAUCACAGAUAAUUUUCUGGCUUUGUACAAGGGCAGUACUGUUGAAGGGGACCUGCAAGCUUCUUUGUCCUAGAGACUAAAAGUCCCUAUUUCUGCCGCAGCAGUUCCAAAUCUACAAACAGAUAUUUUCACAUGGUAUCACUCCUCACUAGCCACCAGUUGCAGGAUGGAGAUGCAGGAUAUAUUAUAAUAGUUGUUUUUGAGUUCAGGUAGAACUUGGAAUCAGCCAAAUUUGCCUUAGGCUCAAACUGGAUGCCCUGAGAGAUAACUCCCACAGUGUAAGAUUGAGAACAUCUUUGAACUCCCAUGGGCCUGAUGCCUAGAAGGAGAGCAACCUGGGUUUUGCCCCUUCUUCUGCCUUUGCUGGUCUCCAUGCCUAAGCAUUACAUUCUAUCCAGCUCCUGCAGAUGAGUUAGCUGGCCUGAGUGCCUACAAAGGACCAGGCAUUCUCUAAGGCAUACUUUACAUGUUUCAAGGCACAUUUAGCAUGCUCUAAGGCAUACUCUAAGGCAUAUUUACAUAUUUACAUUCAUCUAAUACCGGCCAUUCUGUUUUUCCAGCCUGGCCUUCUGUCACAAUCUUGGGCUUAUCCCUUCUCAGCUAAGCACUAGGGGAGUGUUUCUUCAAAGCUCUAACAUGUACUGUGAGUGCUGUUCCCAAUGAUUCCCAUCUUUCUGAUUCCUUUUAAUUCCUCAGUAAUGAUUUGUGCUAAGUAUUUUUACUUUUUUUUCCUCCAAGUCUCAACCUUGAAGAGUUUACUGUGGCCACUUGAAAUUAAGUAUGGGCUGCUUUUAAUGGGACUAAUUGUUAUAAGUUCUCAUAGCAAGAAUCAAUUUCAAGAAUGAGAAAAAAAAUCCAUCCCCAGGUUUCCUGCAUCCUAUUCUCAGCCUCGUGAUUUAAUCACUUAAUUUUAGAAUAACGCACUCAGCUGUUUCCACGUCAGCCACUGACUUUUCCCAAGAAACAAAUAAUGAGGAAGAUGUGGCCUUAACUAAGAUGGCCUUGCCGUAGGUUAAAGGAUCAUGGACAGCUGAUCUCUAGUGCCUCUAGAUCAUUGGAACAAAGCCAUUUUCUUCCUCAGACCAGGUUGCUUUGAUUUGCAAUUUAUUAUAAACAAAAUGAACUGGCUAUUUUGGGGCUUGGGUUUGAACUAUUACCUAAAUCCUGACUAGUCAUAGUUUGUGAAGUUCUGCAACAAAUGCCUGCCUCUGUCUCUUUCAUUCUUUUUCUUCCUCUUCCUUUCUUUUUUUUUUUUAAAGAAUAUCUUUUUCUAGAACAAUGAAGCAGAUAAGAAAUAUAGGAAACCAUAGAGAGUUAAAUAGCAUUUAUGGAACUGUGAGGAUCAUCUACUGACAGUAAGAGCAAUAACACAGAAACAGACUUCAACUGGCAAGAAACAGCAGGUCACUGCCUGCAGGGGUUGACCAGCUUAGAAACUUGACUGUUUCAUGUGUUUGGGUAAUGUAAUCAAACACAGAUGCUGAACCAACUCAUGGUCUAAUGGCAUUAUAUUUGAUAUCUUCUACUUAAUUGUAAUUAAAGUUCAAUUUAAUUUCCUAGAGCAAUUAAAUAUAUUAAAAUAUUUUAUGGGCAUUUAUUAGCCCAAACUGAUUUUUAAAAAACACAAAGUGGCAUCAGGAGGGUUCUGUGUUUGAGAAGGCCACAAUGUUUUUCAGUGAGAUACUACAUUUGUCCAUAGGCUUAGGGAGAAUAAUUUACAUUUCAGUUUUACAAAAUUAACAUUAUGGUCAGCUUUCAACUAGGUAUGCAAAAGCCUUUAAUUUUAAGUGGAAGAAUAUCUGUGGGUGUGUGAAUAUUGAAUGAAUUCCCCAUAUUUAAUUUCUGCUGUAACUUAAUAGCCAAUAGACAAUAAGAAAUGUUGCUGUCAGGGAGGCUUUUAUGGGAAUGAACUGAAGAAAGAAGCAUAAUUCUAUACAAUGGAUGGAAGAACACCAUACAUCUCAGAUUUCUGAAGACGUGAAGAGAUUUCAAAUAGACUGCCCCUUUGUCCUUAUAAGCAUAUUAGUUGUCGGGCCACAUACUUUUAUUUUUGAUUUAGGACACGUAUUCACUAUACUUAAAUGUCCUUAAAGUAUAAUAAGAACAAAAGUCUUAGUCAAAAUGUAUAUAUGCUAUAUGCUUAUUAUUGUAGAAUUUGAGUAAGCAUCCUCAGGAAAGGAAAUGGUAUGUUUUUAAUUCUGUAUCCCAUGUAUGAGAGCACAAUUUGCAAUCCAAAAUUGAUUAAUUUUCAUAUGUCACUUGAUUAAAAAACAGAAUAGUGGUGGAAGCUUCUGGAGUAUUCCCAGAAGCAUUAAAAGAUAAACAAUAGAUGGACAAGUUAAAUCUGCAGUAAAAUCCCAUUAAUCAUAUGUAGCUGAGGCUUUAGAAGUGAGUCAUCAAAUAAUCACUGGAAACUUUGAGGAUACUUACUAAAAUUUUAAAGCUGACUAUAUUCCAACUGAAAAUGUUAUCCCCCUAAGUAAAAAGAGUACUUUUAUCCGACACACAGAACAUAUCUAGGCUAUUUAAUCUAUAUUAUUUGCUAGGUGAUUUUUAAGUAACCAUAGUUACUAGACUUAAAGAAUUUACAGUAGGUGUCUGUUGCAGUGGUGAUGGCACUAGAUUGAUUCAACAGUCAUUUAUUUGUAUUAAUGAAUAGGAAAUGAGAAAGAUUUGUGAAAGAACAAAUAAUCUAGGGGAGUUAAUGAGCACAUGUGUGCACACAUACUCUAACUUCCCAAGGAGGCUAUGUUGUACAGUGCUCUCCCCCACCCACCCUCAACUCUGCAGCCCACAGGUAGGGAGGGGGCCAUGCCCUAUAUUAGGAGGGGAGUCAAAGGCCAGGCUUACUCAAGUUUUAGUGCAGUAUAAAGUGCAGUUUGUAAAGCCUCUGGGUAAUUUGAUCAAUACAGGCACUCAAAAUCUAUAAUGUGAGUUCCAGAGUAAAUGUUUGGAUCAAAUCGAUCUUUAAUUAAAUUUAGAAGAAAACUAAAAUUUCCAUUUUAGUUGAGUAAGAACAAGAAGUUUAGCCAGAUAUCUGGCUGUUAAAUAUGAUGUAUAUAAAACAUCUAAAUAAUUAGUUUUUCAAACUUUGAAUUCAAAUGUCUGCUAUCUUUAGAUUCAAAGUGGAUUAAGAAUUAGUCAUGGUAACUCAAUUUCUUUGAUUUAUGAAGAAUGCGUGACUGAAAAUAAUGACCGAUCCAAUAUGCAAAGGGUAAUUACUUUUAUGUCGGAAAUAUUCUUAUGUCAUUCCUGCACUUGGUCUAGAGUUAUUUUAUAUAUAUAUAUAAUGAAAUACAAUGCAAUGUACUACAAAACAUAAUUCAAAUAUUAUGAUAGUAUAUUUAUUCAAAUGAUUUCCAUGAUUCCACAAGUUUAUAUGGCAAUUACAAAGUUUCUGAAUUUAGUAUAUAAAAAUGAUGCUAGAAAAAUGGGUAUCUACCAUUUUUAAACAUCUCUUUGAAACAUUAAAAUCUCAU
Molecule: long non-coding RNA, 4530 nt
Organism: Homo sapiens (human)
Lineage: Eukaryota; Metazoa; Chordata; Mammalia; Primates; Hominidae
Exons: 3
Source: RefSeq, a predicted model, not a curated record